CAUGAGAAGGCACAUUGAGAAGCCAGCCGUCUGUGAAUCGGGAAGGGAGCCCUCACCAGAACCCAGCCCAGCUGUACUCUGGACUCGAACUCCCAGCCUCCAGAACUCUGAGAGACCUGGCUGUUCUCACCCUUGGCCCCUGAUUCCUGCAGCGUGAAUCAAAUCUAAAGUCUUCUGGUUCCAUCCUGUUGUGUGGGAAACACAACCCCCUUCCUCUGUGGCCUCCUUUUCCCUCCUGCUGGAGCACCGCUGCUAGGCCUGAUCUGCAAAGCUGCAAGGUUGUUUCCAGCACUUUGGGAACUUAAUAUGUCUACAGCUUUCACACCAGGCUGCCCCUCUUCUCAAAAGACAUCUGAACCUAGCACAGGUUAAUUAGAUCAUUAUUUCAAGAGACAAAAGCUACAAGAAGUCCCCAGCAGCACACACACAUUUCCAGUGAUGUCAGACUUUAAAAUUGUUUGUAUUUAUUCCCUAAAGAAAGAAGUGCUGCCACAGUGAAAUUAUUAUUUUUAAAAGUGCUGCAAAAAUAUUUUACAAACUUUACCUUCAACUGUGAUUUCUCCCUCUUAGCAAUUCAUAAUUAUAUAUUGCCUUCUCCAAAUUCCCAACCUACUGAUUCCAUUCCUAACAGUGAAUGAAUCCUUCUAGUUCCUUUCAUAAUUACUUUAGCUUUUCUCCAGAAAAGCUUUUUGUUGUUGUUUUACUUCGUGGAAACAUAUGGCUGAUGGUGGGGACUUUACUGUUUCCUAAUUUGAAAAAGAAAGCCAUCAACUUCCACUCACCUAUGAAUGGGGUAUUUCCUCGUCGAUGGUCACAUCAGAAGAGGGGCCCAAGUGUGCACCCAGCAUGUACUAAAAGCCGCAAGUGGAGAGCUGGGGCCAUCUGCAGCAGAUGGCCCCACACACAGCGCCACCAUGAAAGGCCAUUGGAAACAAUUAACUCCAUUCACGCUAAGCAGAAAUAAACAAUCACCCAUUCAAGUGAGAAUUAGUUCCACUAUCUUUCUCCAAGUCAUCAAAACAAAGCUCUCCGAGUUGGGAUACCUCCUAAAGUACCUUAGCAGCACGGAACCACACAAACAUCCCCUUGCUUGCCGAUUUCUGUAACCCAAGCCAGAGAUAACUCGACAUUUGCAUUACUAAUUGCUCUCUUCCAGAACUUGUUGACGCUUGGGUUGGUUUUGAAUAGACCGCUAAGUGGCUCUCCAGACAUAAGCAGGGCCCAUCUCACCAACUGCAAACAAGCUCGCCUAUCUGUCAUCAGGCGGCUAUUUCUUUGCUCCAAGAAAUAGACAGAAAGUCCCCUGAACACUCUAGAGGGAUCUGUUUAGAUGAAGAGCGUGGGCGGCCACCCUCCCUCCUGCUUUUCUGCUCUGGCGUUGGCUCUUGAUGCUGAAGGGUCCAUGCACCACACCCGCCUCUCUCCUGCAGGAAGUCCCCAGCCCUGGGAGCCCACGCCUCUCCCCUCGUGCCCUCAGUGGGCGCCUUCCCUAUCCAUCAGUUGCAGGGACAGGUCUUGGUGCUGGCCUGUUCUCCAUAAGCCUCCCCUGCUAAUGCGAUGCUAUGACCAUGCGGCCACUGCCCGCUUUGUCCUGGUACUCCCCAAAAGACUCGGGUUUGAACUGCGGAAACAUUUAGGUGAGGGUGGAAGUGCAAGUCGGUGGCAUAAUUAAUUAAGUGAUUGCAUUUAUGCGGCUCCUCUGCUUUUGAGUCCAAUGCUUAGAAAGUGAAAGGAUCUUAGCUGUGUCAUCACUAGCAUCACAAAUGGAGACAACGGGGCGUGUAGGGAAAGGAUAACUGAGAAGAAGAUACAACAAGCAGGAGCUGCACACGGCAGGGCCGCAGCCGAAAGACGCCCCAGCAGCAACUGGCAUCAAGAUUCCUCAGACUCCAUGAGUCUUGCUGCCAGGGGAUAGGGUCGGGGUGAGAAGAAACCCCUAAAUCGAGACCUGGCUGCCUUUUGCUGGCCAAACCAACCCCCACACAAAUGUCCCUAACUUCAUUUGUUUUCUAGGCCUGUUUCAUAAUCUGUGUUUUUCUCCGGCUUAAUGCAUUCUUCCCCGCCUUUGCCAGAUAUCCAGUAGUGACACAAUAACAGGGACACAAACCAGCAUUAAAGGGUAAUUACCCACACGGCUCACUCCCCGAGCAGGGCUGUGGAGACACGUCUCUCCUCUCUGUUCCCUUCCCCAUUCACCUCCCUGCAAAGGCUUUCUCUAAAUCCUGCCUGUCCUACAAAUCUCAGAUUAUGGUUAGCAUCCUUCAAAAAGCCUUCCGUGGAGGCGCAGCCCCCAUGCUCCGUGGGUAAAGAGUCUGGGCAUGGUACCCUGGUGGCAUGUGGCUCCUGUGGUGCUUGGCAAGGGGCGGCCUGGCCAGUGUUUCAUUUGUCCCUUUUGCCGCUGAAACCGGAAGCUCCUUGAGAGUAUGACCCUUGGAUUUCCAUCCCCAAGACCUGGUACUCCCUGUGUUUACUGGCACUCCAUGCAUGCUUGCUGAACACAUGAAUCGCUGACUUCCUUCUGCUACUCAUUUGGAACCAGAAAAUCUACCUUAUUUUUGUUUCCAUUUUCUUCAUCUCGAAGGUGAGGGGACAAUAGCCUUCCUCCCAAGACUGUGGAAUAAAUAAGAGACACAUCGCUCCAAAACAUUUUUUUUCGAAUGUUUCCACUAUAAAAGAACAGCUAUAUAAAAUGACUUGACAAAUAUGUAAUAAAUGUACUUGCAAAUC
Homo sapiens (human) is the source of this 2727-nucleotide long non-coding RNA. The record is from Ensembl. NCBI's taxonomy places the organism in Eukaryota, Metazoa, Chordata, Mammalia, Primates, Hominidae.